Larimichthys crocea (large yellow croaker) is the source of this 867-nucleotide long non-coding RNA. RefSeq lists it as uncharacterized. The transcript has 3 exons. Lineage: Eukaryota; Metazoa; Chordata; Actinopteri; Sciaenidae. The record is from RefSeq and is a predicted model, not a curated record.
AAUCCAAUAUAAUGAAAUGUGUGAUGAUGUAAGUCUCUUAAAGGAAAUAUUAGUUUAAACUUUGAUACUUUAUGUACAUUUUCUUGCCAAUACAUGUGUACUUUUACUUAUUAUGCAUAUAUGUGUGAGUGUCCUUACAUCUGAAUACUUCCAUCUUUAGGCAGCAACAUGAACGUUCAUCCCACCUGCUGUUAUGUGUGUACAAUGACUACACUGUUGUUGCAUUUCCUUUCUCUGUCCACAGAUGGCAGCACAGUCACAUUUGCCUUUCAGGUAAGUUUUCAUCCAUUUCCUGUCACACUUCCUCCCAGCUGGAUGUUUCAGCAGCACCUGUGAGUUUACAGGUGAAACCACAGCAGAACUCUGCACCACUGCAGCACCACGCUGGAGCCUUACUGCAGCUGUUAGUUUGUAAGACUGCACGAACAAGGACCAACUUAAAGGUGCGUCAGUCCCACUCAGAGCUCGAUAACUUGGUGAUUGAACGCUGGAUUCACUCUUGAAGGAGUCCAGUGAAGUAUUUGUACACAGGAAUGUUGUAUUUUACAGUAGAAAUACUGAAGUCAUGAGUCAGUUUUCACUCAGUAGAAGAAAAUAUGAGCUGGCAACCAGACUACAUAACAUUUAAAAACACAUUUUAUUCAUUAAUCUAACUCUUUGUUUAUGUUUUCUCUCUAUGUUUUAGUCAAAAUCCAGAUUCAAAGUCUUCUCCACACUGUCAGGUUUGACUUCCUGCGAGCCCUGAGGUGUUGAACGUCUGCACAGUAGUCCAGGUUGAGCUUCUUGCAGAGCUCGGCCUUGUCUUGCGUUCCCAGGUACGCGUUCCUCUUGAAGGCCCUCUCCAUGCUGCUGAUCUGCUCCGCCGUG